UGGGGUAAUCUUCACUGUGACUAGCAUCUGCUAGUUUUCUGCAGUCGGCUUCGGCUGCUGUAGUGGCUGGCGAGAUUACUAAUAUAAAAUCAGCUGGAUUAAACAAGGCGAUUGCCUGAAUGCUCCUUAUUGGAAUAAUAGAAUAGGACUUCGGUCUUAUUUAUUGGUUCUAAGUUCGAAGUAAUGAUUAAUAGAGACGAUUCGGGGCUGUUCGUAUCAUUACGCGAGGGGUGAAAUCCGUUGACCGUAGUGAGACGUCCAAAAGCGAAAGCAUUCAGCAAGAACGUCUUCAUUAAUCAAGAACGAAAGUCAGAGGUUCGAAGGCGAUUAGAUACCGCCCUAGUUCUGACCGUAAACUAUGCCAUCUAGCGAUCUGAUGGGGUAAUUUGCCUUGUCGGGGAGCUUUCCGGAAACGAAAGUUUUUCGGUUCCGGGGGUAGUAUGGUUGCAAAGCUGAAACUUAAAGAAAUUGACGGAAGGGCACCACCAGGAGUGGAGCCUGCGGCUUAAUUUGACUCAACACGGGAAAACUCACCCGGUCCGGACACCAGAAUGAUUGACAGAUUGAUAGCUCUUUCUCGAUUUGGUGGUUGGUGGUGCAUGGCCGUUCUUAGUUGGUGGAUUGAUUUGUCUGGUUUAUUCCGAUAACGAACGAGACUCUCUCCUACUAAAUAGUUUCUGGAUAAUUAUCGUCCAGUGAACUUCUUAGAGGGAUAAGCGG
RNAcentral lists this ribosomal RNA (720 nucleotides) under uncultured eukaryote. RNAcentral describes it as "SSU rRNA". It matches the Rfam family "Eukaryotic small subunit ribosomal RNA", at positions 677 to 1426 of the family's 1831-position model. The record is from RNAcentral.